RNAcentral lists this ribosomal RNA (254 nucleotides) under uncultured bacterium. RNAcentral's name for it is "partial 16S ribosomal RNA". It matches the Rfam family "Bacterial small subunit ribosomal RNA", at positions 524 to 776 of the family's 1533-position model. The record is from RNAcentral.
CACGUAGGGCGCAAGCGUUGUCCGGAAUUAUUGGGCGUAAAGAGCUCGUAGGCGGUCUGUUACGUCUGCUGUGAAAACCCGGGGCUUAACCCUGGGCUUGCAGUGGAUACGGGCAUCACUGGAGUUCGGCAGGGGAGACUGGAAUUCCUGGUGUAGCGGUGAAAUGCGCAGAUAUCAGGAGGAACACCGGUGGCGAAGGCGGGUCUCUGGGCCGAUACUGACGCUGAGGAGCGAAAGCGUGGGGAGCGAACAGG